CCUUCACAACCUUAGGUCUCUCUAGAGCAAAGCUCUCACACUCUCUCCCUCACAAAUACUCUCAGAGAAAUACAAUCAGUGUGGAAGUAGCCCAAACCUUGGGGUGAACCACGAUACAUCUUGUGUUAUUUACAUUUCAUGCAGAUUCACGGUUGGAUUUACGUUGUUCCAAGGCCUCCGGUUUUAUGCAUCAACAUAAUCAAAUUUGAAGGUAGAAGCAAGCUCCAACUGAUAUAUCAAUCCUACGUGGAUUGACAUAUGAGUUUUCAUAUGUCAAAUUUGAAAUAUGAGAAAAGGUGAUGUCAAAUCAUUUUUAAUUAUUUUAUUGUGUGGGUGUCAUUAAUGCACCAAUUAUAGAACUUGAAAAUUUAUUUUAAUUGAUUUAUUUUUAAAAUGGGUCUUACAAAUAUCAUUUAUAAGAAAAAAAACAUAUUGGUUGGAAAAAAGAGAAAAUUUGACAUUACCAUGUCAGCCAUCAAAUUAACAUUUGAUGUUUAUCUUUUGAUAUCUCAUUUGAAGAUGCUCUUAUAUGUCAAAUUUGACAUAUAAAAACUCAUAUGUCAAUCCACAUAAGAUUGACAUAUUAGUUGGAGCUUGCUUCUACCUUCAAAUUUGAUUACAUGACAUUCUACUUAGGAUUUGACAUCUCCUUUAGAGAUGAUCUUAUGUGGCUGUUCCCUUUUGGACCAAUAUAUAUUAUGUAAUUAGUUUAACUUUUUCUGUGUAAAUCCUAAGUCUAUAAAUUGAUAGGCACUCUAGAAAAAAAGACACUCUUAUUUUAUCCUCCUAAUCUCUCUCUGGCCUCUCUCUAGUCUCUCUUGCUCUACAUGUUAUUUAUAACACUUUGAAUUUUUACUUCUAUUUUUGUUAUUACGAUUAAUAUUACUACUAUGAACUAGAUUAAGGGAGGAGGAAGAGUUUGAAUCUGGAACACAGUGCAUCAAAAAAUUUGCCAUACGGACUAUAGUAAUCCACCAUUUGUGGAUUUUUACUACCAUAUUUAUUCAAGACGUUGGGGGCGUGGGCAAUUUUCACAAUACAUUUUACCUUAUUUUAUGCUCAUAUUUUAAGUAUCUUUAUGAUACACAUUUACUUGCAAAAUUUAUAAAUUUGAAUUUCU
This 1120-nucleotide long non-coding RNA is filed under the name Malus domestica (apple). RNAcentral describes it as "long non-coding RNA (MDOM_LNC012295)". Lineage: Eukaryota; Viridiplantae; Streptophyta; Magnoliopsida; Rosales; Rosaceae. The record is from RNAcentral.